UACAGAGGGUGCGAGCGUUAAUCGGAAUUACUGGGCGUAAAGCGUGCGUAGACGGUUAUUUAAGUCGGGUGUGAAAGCCCCGGGCUCAACCUGGGAAUUGCGGUUGAAACUGGCGGACUAGAAUCUGGCAGAGGGGGGUGGAAUUCCACGUGUAGCAGUGAAAUGCGUAGAGAUGUGGAGGAACACCGAUGGCGAAGGCAGCCCCCUGGGCUGAGAUUGACGCUCAGGCACGAAAGCGUGGGGAGCAAACAGG
Molecule: ribosomal RNA, 253 nt
Filed under: uncultured bacterium
Lineage: Bacteria
Description: partial 16S ribosomal RNA
Rfam family: Bacterial small subunit ribosomal RNA
Source: RNAcentral